GGCGACGUCGCCAAGCGGUAAGGCCGAGGUCUGCAAAAUCUCUAUCACCAGUUCGAUUCUGGUCGUCGCCUCCA
Molecule: transfer RNA, 74 nt
Filed under: Fusobacteriaceae bacterium
Lineage: Bacteria; Fusobacteriati; Fusobacteriota; Fusobacteriia; Fusobacteriales; Fusobacteriaceae
Also listed under: 1 other name
Description: tRNA-Cys
Rfam family: tRNA
About the family: Transfer RNA (tRNA) molecules are approximately 80 nucleotides in length.
Source: RNAcentral